AAGAGUGAGGGUCUCUCAGGCCCGACCUCCCAACCCUUUGAUUACUGAACCUCUGUUGCUUCGGUGGACCCGCCUUCACCGGCCGCCGGAGGACCGCCGCGAGGCAUCCUCUGGUCCGCGUCCGCCGAUAGCCAACCUAUUAAACUCUUGAAUAACCAUGUCGUAUGUCUAAGUCAAUUGAUAAAUUAAAGCA
This 193-nucleotide unclassified non-coding RNA is filed under the name uncultured Herpotrichiellaceae. RNAcentral's name for it is "sequence contains ITS1". The record is from RNAcentral. Lineage: Eukaryota; Fungi; Ascomycota; Eurotiomycetes; Chaetothyriales; Herpotrichiellaceae.